Molecule: small nuclear RNA, 96 nt
Organism: Pongo abelii (Sumatran orangutan)
Lineage: Eukaryota; Metazoa; Chordata; Mammalia; Primates; Hominidae
Gene: U2
Rfam family: U2 spliceosomal RNA
About the family: U2 is a small nuclear RNA (snRNA) component of the spliceosome (involved in pre-mRNA splicing). Complementary binding between U2 snRNA (in an area lying towards the 5' end but 3' to hairpin I) and the branchpoint sequence (BPS) of the intron results the bulging out of an unpaired adenosine, on the BPS, which initiates a nucleophilic attack at the intronic 5' splice site, thus starting the first of two transesterification reactions that mediate splicing.
Source: Ensembl
AUCAUUUUUUGGCCUUUUGGCUAAGAUCAAGUAUAAUAUUCUUAUCAGUUUAAUAUCUGCUAUAUCAAAAAAUUUAUAUUGAAAACAAUUCCCCUC